AUUGAACGCUGGCGGCAGGCCUAACACAUGCAAGUCGAACGGUAACAGGAAGAAGCUUGCUUCUUUGCUGACGAGUGGCGGACGGGUGAGUAAUGUCUGGGAAACUGCCUGAUGGAGGGGGAUAACUACUGGAAACGGUAGCUAAUACCGCAUAAUGUCGCAAGACCAAAGAGGGGGACCUUCGGGCCUCUUGCCAUCGGAUGUGCCCAGAUGGGAUUGGCUAGUAGGUGGGGUAACGGCUCACCUAGGCGACGAUCCCUAGCUGGUCUGAGAGGAUGACCAGCCACACUGGAACUGAGACACGGUCCAGACUCCUACGGGAGGCAGCAGUGGGGAAUAUUGCACAAUGGGCGCAAGCCUGAUGCAGCUAUGCCGCGUGUAUGAAGAAGGCCUUCGGGUUGUAAAGUACUUUCAGCGGGGAGGAAGGGAGUAAAGUUAAUACCUUUGCUCAUUGACGUUACCCGCAGAAGAAGCACCGGCUAACUCCGUG
This 490-nucleotide ribosomal RNA is filed under the name uncultured bacterium. Its description in RNAcentral is "partial 16S ribosomal RNA". It matches the Rfam family "Bacterial small subunit ribosomal RNA", at positions 30 to 507 of the family's 1533-position model. The record is from RNAcentral.